UACAGAGGUCCCAAGCGUUGUUCGGAUUCACUGGGCGUAAAGGGUGCGUAGGCGGUCGAGUAAGUCUGACGUGAAAUCUCCGGGCCUAACCCGGAAACUGCGUUGGAAACUACUUGGCUAGAGGAAUGGAGGGGAGACUGGAAUACUUGGUGUAGCAGUGAAAUGCGUAGAUAUCAAGUGGAACACCAGUGGCGAAGGCGAGUCUCUGGACAGUUACUGACACUGAGGCACGAAGGCCAGGGGAGCAAACGGG
This 253-nucleotide ribosomal RNA is filed under the name uncultured bacterium. RNAcentral describes it as "partial 16S ribosomal RNA". It matches the Rfam family "Bacterial small subunit ribosomal RNA", at positions 524 to 776 of the family's 1533-position model. The record is from RNAcentral.